Melanotaenia boesemani (Boeseman's rainbowfish) is the source of this 2506-nucleotide long non-coding RNA. RefSeq lists it as uncharacterized. The transcript has 6 exons. The record is from RefSeq and is a predicted model, not a curated record. Lineage: Eukaryota; Metazoa; Chordata; Actinopteri; Atheriniformes; Melanotaeniidae.
CGCCAACGCCAGGCCUCUCACCAACAAACUGGACAGAAUUUGUCUGAGGAUCGUCUCACGUAAGUAGGGCUGGGCACCGAAUGUCGGUUCUUUCUUGGCACCGACCGAAAUGUGACGGUUCUACUUGGUAUUGAAACAUGCCUCGUCUGUCGGUUCCAAGUUUCGGUGCCCAGAGGUUUAUCACGUGUAAGUAGCUGUCAUCUGAUUGGCUGAAACGUCCGCGUGCAUGAAGUACACAAACUGAUCACGCCCCUCUCGUUCUCAAGCGUCUUUCCAUGUUUGAUGCAUCGACAAAGUCUACAAAAAUGCCGAAGUCGAAAGCCUGGUUAUAUUUUCGCAAGAAUGAUAAAUCUACUGCGUGUUGCAAUAUAUGCGACAAGAACAUCGUCUGCAAGAACAGCAACACAUCUAAUUUAUUGAAACAUUUGACGGUCCGUGGAAUAAAUUUGAGAGCGGAGAGUUGCACACUUUUCUCUCCCACAAGUUCUUCCUCGGAGUCGACUUCAAGUGCACCCUCGACUUCGACUUUGCCACUCCCGACUUCUCUGCAGGAGGGCUCGGAUUCAUCUGACACCGAGCAAAGCACGUUUCUGAAGUUUCAUCUGCCUCUGCCCACGUCCCUGUCCCUGAUGUGAGGAGGAAAAGGCAGGCAUCUACUGCCAUAAACCCGUUCACGACAGCCGAAAGGGCCAAAAUGUCUAAAGAUCAACAGGCAGAGUACCACAGGGCAGUGACGCGGUUUGUAGUUAAAGGCUUGCUGCCGUUUUCUACGGUGGAGACUCCGUGGUUCAGGUAAGUUGGCUGUACAGGUUAUUAUUGAAUAACUUAAAGAAUAUUUAUUUGUACUCCUUUAUCUUUAUUUAUCUAAAGUAAGCCAAGAUGUAUUUUAAGUGAUGUGCUUUAAGCAAUGAGAACAUAACAAUGUUAUUGUUAAUGUUUUGUCUAAUGUCUUGUCAAUUAGGGAGAUGAUAAGAACCCUUAACCCCAGGUAUCAGCCUCCCAGCAGAGACAUGCUGGCAAAUACAUUUAUACCAGCCUGGUGUGCAGCCGAGAAGGAAAGGGUCACGGCAGAAUUGAGAGACGUCAGGGAUGUGGCUGUGACGGCGGAUGAGUGGACCAGCGUGGCUCAGGACCACUACUUGACUGUCUCUGUCUACUACGUGAGAGAAGGGCAAAUGAAAGAGAAAAUCCUGCAUACCAGGGCUGUGUACACUUCCCAGACAGGACAGGUGAUAGCUGAGGAGAUAGGGGAUGUUCUUCAGGAGUUUGAAGUAAAGGAAAAGGUUGUUGCCAUCACAGUUGACAACGCAGCUAACAUGAAUGUAGCCAUUAAAAAGAUGAACAUCAGGAAGAUUGGCUGCUUUGCCCACACACUAAAUAUAGCAGCACAAAAACUUUACAAUGUACCUGCAAUUUCAAGGUGUGCAGGAUGAAUCCGGGCCUUGGCGGUAUGGAUGAAACGAAGCAGUUUGGCAAAGUCAGUGCUUAAAGAGAAGCAGCGUCUUCUUGGUCUUCCAGAACAUGCAGUUGUUCUUGAUGUCAGGACCCGCAUAUAUGCAUAUAUUUGUGCAGGCUGGAAAGGAUUACUGAUGACGACUACAGAAAGGCGGAAGAGUUUGUCAGAGUUAUGAAGAUGCUCUACACUUCAACUCUCAGCAUCUCCACUGAAAGGAGUCCAACUUUGGGCCAGAUUCUGCCCAUCCUGGGUAAACUGCAACAACACUUAACAGUUACCGAUGAAGACUCCUCCUCAUUUACACGGGCCAUCAAGGAGAAGAUCUGGGGUGACCUCUCUCAACGAUACCAAGAUGAGAGCAUCAGACAGUUCUUGGAGGAGGGCACAGCCUUGGAUUCAAGGUUCAAGACCAAAGUGACAGACGAAGUGUGGUCCAGAGUGGAGAAGGAGCUAAUAAAUAGGGCUUCACAACAGACUGAAGGUGUAGCGGCCGAGUAAAUGGAGCAAGAGCUGGAAGGGACAGCUGGUGACCAAGGCAAAGACUCAUCUGAUGAAGACUCUACAGUUACAGUAAACCCAAAGAGAAAACCAGGGCUCUCUGCCCUUGGGGAGCUGUUUGCUGAUGAGGAUUUGGCAGUGGAAUCCAGGCAGGAGACAGCAAAGACUAUUACAGAGAAGGCCCAGGACGAGAUACAGCGAUACAGAGAACUGCCAUCCACACUGACCUCUGUGAACCCAGCAACCUGGUGGUGGACUUUUAGAGACACCUUGCCAUUGUUAUCCAACUUGGCAGGCAGGUACCUCUGUGUGCAGGCAUCGUCCACUCCUGCUGAGCGCACAUUUUGGACGGCUGGGGACACCAUCAGCCAGGAACGGUUUGCCUGUCCCCUGAGAAGGCUGACAUGUUAAUUUUCUUGAAGAAAAAUUGUUAAUUACAUUGGCACGUGUGUGUCUGCACGUGCGUGUUUAUAGUGUGAAGAUGUUUGAGUUCUUACCUCUUGAGUUCAUAUUUUUGCACUGGAAAUAGCACUAAUAAAUAUACUCCAAUAU